UACACACGGAUAACAUACCGAAAGGUAUGCUAAUACGGGAUAAUAUAUUUGAGAGGCAUCUCUUAAAUAUCAAAGGUGAGCCAGUACAGGAUGGACCCGCGUCUGAUUAGCUAGUUGGUAAGGUAACGGCUUACCAAGGCAACGAUCAGUAGCCGACCUGAGAGGGUGAUCGGCCACAUUGGAACUGAGACACGGUCCAAACUCCUACGGGAGGCAGCAGUGGGGAAUAUUGCACAAUGGGCGAAAGCCUGAUGCAGCAACGCCGCGUGAGUGUUGAAGGCCUUCGGGUCGUAAAACUCUGUCCUCAAGGAAGAUAAUGACGGUACUUGAGGAGGAAGCCCCGGCUAACUACGUGCCAGCAGCCGCGGUAAUACGUAGGGGGCUAGCGUUAUCCGGAUUUACUGGGCGUAAAGGGUGCGUAGGCGGUCUUUCAAGUCAGGAGUGAAAGGCUACGGCUCAACCGUAGUAAGCUCUUGAAACUGGGAGACUUGAGUGCAGGAGAGGAGAGUGGAAUUCCUAGUGUAGCGGUGAAAUGCGUAGAUAUUAGGAGGAACACCAGUUGCGAAGGCGGCUCUCUGGACUGUAACUGACGCUGAGGCACGAAAGCGUGGGGAGCAAACAGGAUUAGAUACCCUGGUAGUCCACGCUGUAAACGAUGAGUACUAGGUGUCGGGGGUUACCCCCUUCGGUGCCGCAG
This 697-nucleotide ribosomal RNA is filed under the name uncultured bacterium. Its description in RNAcentral is "bacterial SSU rRNA". It matches the Rfam family "Bacterial small subunit ribosomal RNA", at positions 134 to 851 of the family's 1533-position model. The record is from RNAcentral.